Molecule: ribosomal RNA, 350 nt
Filed under: Pseudoalteromonas sp.
Lineage: Bacteria; Pseudomonadati; Pseudomonadota; Gammaproteobacteria; Alteromonadales; Pseudoalteromonadaceae
Description: bacterial SSU rRNA
Rfam family: Bacterial small subunit ribosomal RNA
Source: RNAcentral
GGAUUGAUCCUGGCUCAGAUUGAACGCUGGCGGCAGGCUUAACACAUGCAAGUCGAGCGGUAACAGAAAGUAGCUUGCUACUUUGCUGACGAGCGGCGGACGGGUGAGUAAUGCUUGGGAACAUGCCUUGAGGUGGGGGACAACAGUUGGAAACGACUGCUAAUACCGCAUAAUGUCUACGGACCAAAGGGGGCUUCGGCUCUCGCCUUUAGAUUGGCCCAAGUGGGAUUAGCUAGUUGGUGAGGUAAUGGCUCACCAAGGCGACGAUCCCUAGCUGGUUUGAGAGGAUGAUCAGCCACAGCUCACCAAGGCGACGAUCCCUAGCUGGUUUGAGAGGAUGAUCAGCCACA